ACUAUAUAAAGAUAUGUGACUACAAGAUAGGUUAGUAUCUCCCUUUAUAGUAUUUUAAAAACGAAACUUGUUGUUGUUUUUGUUGCGUAACUGUAUUUGAAUUAUAAUAGUAAGACUAUAGAUGUUAUUUGAGUACAUUGAAACAAGUUCAAGGCAAGUGGAUAUAGGGUAACCGUCCGUCCUUUACAUAGGUAUAAAAGAGAUCUGAAAGGUUGUUUAUAAUAAUUUAUAAAUUUUAGUGGCGGUGUU
Molecule: non-coding RNA, 249 nt
Filed under: unclassified sequences
Description: IS605-orfB-I RNA
Rfam family: IS605-orfB-I RNA
Source: Rfam by way of RNAcentral